UGGUGAUGUGAAGCAUAAAACUUACUUGAACAUGUCGUUUUGUUUUAGGGAGCAAGGAGCAAACUGCCCUCUUUAUUAAAUUGAGGGGGGACAGCGACCACCUCUUCACCGGGGCAAAGUUUUCUGCCAACGUGGCUUGGAGGACAAUUUUGGAGAAAAUGGGCCUGUGGGGAAGGUGACUUCCCUCCAAGCGAAAAAAAAGUGGGACAAUUUAAAAAAA
This is a long non-coding RNA of Micropterus salmoides (largemouth bass), 220 nucleotides long. RefSeq lists it as uncharacterized. Lineage: Eukaryota; Metazoa; Chordata; Actinopteri; Centrarchiformes; Centrarchidae. The transcript has 2 exons. The record is from RefSeq and is a predicted model, not a curated record.